AGUGAACGCUGGCGGCGUGCCUAAUACAUGCAAGUCGAACGGCAACAUAAUAAGAUUUUUCUCCUGCGGUUGGCGAGUGGCGGGUGAGUGAGAAAUGCAUCACAUACCUCUAUUUCUGGGGUGAUAUCGGGGAGCCACUUCUACUACUACCUCAUACAAUCUACCGCAUGGUGCAAUAGUUCUUCACGCCUUUCCUGUCUGUAUUAGCUGAUGUCGGAUUAGCUAGUUGGCUUGGUAAAGGCCCACCAAGGCAACGAUCCGUAGCUGGUCUGAGAGGAUGAUCAGCCACACUGGAACUGAGACACGGUCCAGACUCCUACGGGAGGCAGCAGUGGGGAAUAUUCGACAAUGGGCGAAAGCCUGAUCCAGCCACACCGCGUGGGUGAAGAAGGUCUUCGGGUUGUAAAGCCCUUUUGUUAGGAAAGAAAAGAAGCGGAUUAAUACACCGCUGUUCUGACGGUACCCAAUCAGAAAGCACCGGCUAACUUCGUG
This 492-nucleotide ribosomal RNA is filed under the name uncultured bacterium. RNAcentral's name for it is "partial 16S ribosomal RNA". It matches the Rfam family "Bacterial small subunit ribosomal RNA", at positions 29 to 507 of the family's 1533-position model. The record is from RNAcentral.